RNAcentral lists this long non-coding RNA (401 nucleotides) under Apteryx owenii (little spotted kiwi). Its description in RNAcentral is "lncRNA (ENSAOWG00000006110.1)". Lineage: Eukaryota; Metazoa; Chordata; Aves; Apterygiformes; Apterygidae. The record is from RNAcentral.
GGGGGGGGGAGGCAGGGAAACGCUGCGGGGCGUCGAACGCCUUUACCGCUCACGUGCGGCGCUGAGAGGCGAGGGCUGGUGUCGUCGCUCGUCUCGUAGGGGCAGCCCUGGCACUGGGGCCGCGGCCAAGCACCAGGGGCCGCGGGGCGCGAAAUGGCGGCCUGGGGGCGGUCUCUGGAGCCGGGGCCGCGGGGCGCGAAAUGGCGGCGCUGGCUAGGCCUCGCGGACCUCGCCUGGGCGCGGAGCCGCAGCGGCGGCAGCUGUGUGAGCCCAGAUGUUUAUCACAGAAGCAAACAGAAAUGGAAGAAGGAAUGCGAACAUCAGAGAUGGAGAAGAUCUGGGAAAUUCCCUUGGUGUUCUGCUGUUUGCGGUGCUGUUCUGUCCUGCACAAUGGAGCUGCG